UGAUAUACAAACUGAAUAGUAACGGGGA
This 28-nucleotide non-coding RNA is filed under the name Bombyx mori (domestic silkworm). The record is from RNAcentral. Lineage: Eukaryota; Metazoa; Arthropoda; Insecta; Lepidoptera; Bombycidae.